AAAACGCCCCCAACCCCUCCCCCGGAAUACGGAGCCGGCAUCAGGCACAACAACAUGCCUAAUACACCUAGCCACGCCACACCCACAAGGGUAAUCAGCAGUGAUUAACAUUGAACAUUAACGACAGUUAGACUCAGUUAGGGUAACAUAGAGCUGGCAAACCAGGUGCCAGCCGCCGCGGUUACACCACAAAGCUCAAAUUGAUGCCCAUCGGCGUAAAGAGUGAUUUACCCCCCCCCCCCACUAGAAUUAAACUAAAACUGGGUUGUGAUAAACCUGUUUUUAGGAAACCCAAAAACGAAAGUUAUCCUAGCACCCCACAAUCACGACAGCUCAGACACAAACUCGGAUUAGGUACCCGACUAUGCUCAGCCGUAAACCUUAACUUACAUUAAAAUCGCCAGGGAACUACGAGCCACGCUUAAAACCCAAAGGACUUGACGGCACUUCACAUCCAACUAGAGGAGCCUGUCCUAUAAAUCGAUAAUCCCCGUUCAACCUCACCCCCCUUAGCCUUUUCAGCCUGUAUACUUCCGUCGUCAGCUCACCGUGUGAGCGCCACUCAGUAGGCCCAACCGCUAAAUACGCACACACGUCAGGUCAAGGUGCAGCUUACAGGGGGGAAGAGAUGGGCUACAUUCUCUAUAAUAGAGUAUACGAAUGACUGCACAUGAAACCCAGUCAGAAGGCGGAUUUAGAAGUCAAGAGGAAAGCAGAGCGUUCCCUUUAAUAACGGCACUGAAGUGUGUACACACCGCCCGUCACCCUCCUCACAGCCACCUUGAUAGUAACUAACAACUCACGGCACCAAAGAGGAGGCAAGUCGUAACAUGGUAAGCAUACCGGAAGGUGUGCUUGGAAA
RNAcentral lists this non-coding RNA (862 nucleotides) under Craugastor bocourti (Bocourt's robber frog). RNAcentral's name for it is "partial 12S ribosomal RNA". It matches the Rfam family "Bacterial small subunit ribosomal RNA", at positions 323 to 1522 of the family's 1533-position model. The record is from RNAcentral. Lineage: Eukaryota; Metazoa; Chordata; Amphibia; Anura; Craugastoridae.